This 253-nucleotide ribosomal RNA is filed under the name uncultured bacterium. RNAcentral's name for it is "partial 16S ribosomal RNA". It matches the Rfam family "Bacterial small subunit ribosomal RNA", at positions 524 to 776 of the family's 1533-position model. The record is from RNAcentral.
UACAGAGGUCUCAAGCGUUGUUCGGAUUCAUUGGGCGUAAAGGGUGCGUAGGCGGCGCGGCAAGUCGGGUGUGAAAUCUCGGGGCUUAACUCCGAAACUGCAUUCGAUACUGCCGUGCUUGAGGACUGGAGAGGAGACUGGAAUUUACGGUGUAGCGGUGAAAUGCGUAGAUAUCGUAAGGAAGACCAGUGGCGAAGGCGGGUCUCUGGACAGUUCCUGACGCUGAGGCACGAAGGUCAGGGGAGCAAACGGG